GUGCUGUACACUAUUAGUACCUACUAUUCAGUAUGCACGCACAGUAGGCAGAUAUUUGUGCCUACUUCAUCUGAUUCAUUCAGUAUGGAAGUGACGUCAUUUACGUUUCCAGAACCGGCCGCAUCCAUUCUUUAUUCAAGAAGAGUAAUGCACAUAUACAGUCAGGUAAACAAAAAACAAUAUCACAAUGUAAAUCAAGUAAAAGACAGAUUAAAUAACUAAAUAACAUACAGUACAUAAAGAAAAGUACAAAUGAAAGACAGUAAUAUACAGAAUAUAAAAUAAAAUAAACAAAUAAAGACGCAUUAAAUAGUGAACUCAUUAUUUAAAUAGAGGGGGAAAGGUUUUAUAAUAAUGCAGACAUUUGUUAUAUUUUCUGUUGUUAAUUUAAAGUAGCGAUUUCAGUCGGGACUUUAACUCUAGAUUAAAAAUUGAUUAAAUUAA
Labrus mixtus (cuckoo wrasse) is the source of this 444-nucleotide long non-coding RNA. RefSeq lists it as uncharacterized. Lineage: Eukaryota; Metazoa; Chordata; Actinopteri; Labriformes; Labridae. The transcript has 2 exons. The record is from RefSeq and is a predicted model, not a curated record.